This 309-nucleotide ribosomal RNA is filed under the name Tetraclita squamosa. Its description in RNAcentral is "partial 12S ribosomal RNA". The record is from RNAcentral. Lineage: Eukaryota; Metazoa; Arthropoda; Thecostraca; Balanomorpha; Tetraclitidae.
UUGGAGUAGUAUUAUUAAUGAAAUUUAACGGAUUUGGCGGCAAGAUAGCUCCUUAGAGGAACCUGCCCUGUAAACGAUGAGCCACGAGGUACUCUACUUUUUUUGGUAAUCAGUUUGUAUAUCGCUGUUGUCAGUUAGAUUCUUGAGAAUAUUUUCGUUCAUGAUAAGUUCAUUGACUUCAAGUAAAGGUGCAGCUUAUAAAAAAGAUAGAGGUGGGUUACAUUUAUAAGAAUAAAACGGAAAGGAUAGUUGAAAUAGUCCUUGAAGGUGGAUUUAACUGUAAAACUUAAAUAGGUUUGGUGAGAGCUC